UCUAUUGAUUGUUUUUCAAAA
This 21-nucleotide non-coding RNA is filed under the name Caenorhabditis elegans. Lineage: Eukaryota; Metazoa; Nematoda; Chromadorea; Rhabditida; Rhabditidae. The record is from RNAcentral.